This 101-nucleotide long non-coding RNA is filed under the name Callithrix jacchus (white-tufted-ear marmoset). RNAcentral's name for it is "lncRNA (ENSCJAG00000070266.1)". Lineage: Eukaryota; Metazoa; Chordata; Mammalia; Primates; Cebidae. The record is from RNAcentral.
CUGACAUUAUGCACCAGAAUCUGAGCAACCCACUGGGCUGGCCAAAACAGUGGCGUUAAGACUGAUGGUGAUCUUCUGCCCGAGAAUCUCCAGUCUGGCUU